GCCUCCGUAGCUCAGCCUGGCAGAGCACUCGCCUCUUAAGCGAAGUGUCGUAGGUUCGAAUCCUACCGGGGGCA
Molecule: transfer RNA, 74 nt
Filed under: Euzebyales bacterium
Lineage: Bacteria; Bacillati; Actinomycetota; Nitriliruptoria; Euzebyales
Description: tRNA-Lys
Rfam family: tRNA
About the family: Transfer RNA (tRNA) molecules are approximately 80 nucleotides in length. Their secondary structure includes four short double-helical elements and three loops (D, anti-codon, and T loops).
Source: RNAcentral